AAAGGAAUAGACGGGGGCCCGCACAAGCGGUGGAGCAUGUUGCUUAAUUCGAGGCAACGCGAAGAACCUUACCCAGGUUUGACAUGCAUAUGACCGGUGGUGAAAGCCGCCUUCCCUUCGGGGCAUAUGGACAGAUGCUGCAUGGCUGUCGUCAGCUCGUGCCGUGAGGUGUUCGGUUAAGUCCGGCAACGAGCGCAACCCGUGCCGUCAGUUACCAUCAGGUAAAGCUGGGGACUCUGGCGGGACCGCCCGUGUCAAGCGGGAGGAAGGCGCGGAUGACGUCAAGUCCGUAUGGCUCUUACGCCUGGGGCUGCAAACGUGCUACAAUGGCCGGUACAAAGGGGAGCGAGUCCGCGAGGCCAAGCGAAUCCUCAAAACCGGCCCCAGUUCGGAUCGCAGUCUGCAACUCGACUGCGUGAAGCCGGAAUCGCUAGUAAAGGGGCAUCAGCAACGGCCCCUUGAAUACGUUCCCGGGCCUUGUACACACCGCCCGU
This 494-nucleotide ribosomal RNA is filed under the name uncultured bacterium. Its description in RNAcentral is "bacterial SSU rRNA". It matches the Rfam family "Bacterial small subunit ribosomal RNA", at positions 903 to 1397 of the family's 1533-position model. The record is from RNAcentral.